This 98-nucleotide ribosomal RNA is filed under the name uncultured bacterium. RNAcentral describes it as "partial 16S ribosomal RNA". It matches the Rfam family "Bacterial small subunit ribosomal RNA", at positions 392 to 508 of the family's 1533-position model. The record is from RNAcentral.
CCAUGCCGCGUGGGUGAUGAAGGCCCUAGGGUUGUAAAGCCUUUCGGCGGGGAAGAUAAUGACGGUACCCGCAGAAGAAGCCCCGGCUAACUUCGUGC